Molecule: long non-coding RNA, 920 nt
Filed under: Mus musculus (house mouse)
Lineage: Eukaryota; Metazoa; Chordata; Mammalia; Rodentia; Muridae
Description: RIKEN cDNA D630024D03 gene, transcript variant 2 (D630024D03Rik)
Source: RNAcentral
AGGGAGUGCGACCUCGCUGCUGAGUUAGCCUGGCUCUUGAGCCGGGCUGAUAGAAACUCCCCCAAUCCCCACUUGUUUCUGUGUUUAGGGUUUGGCAAACUGGUGUUUUCACUCUCAGGGGCUAGCUCCAUUUGUCUGGCCACUUUUCUGACUACAGUGCUGGGUACUGCACCUUUACAACAAGGCUGUGAGGGCUGAGCACUCAGAGGCAGAGGCUGGGGGAUCCCUGAGUUCAAGGCUACCCAGGGCUACGCAUUCCAACUCAUCUUCAGCUCUACUGAAAGCUGACAGCUCAGUCUUGAAAACCCAAAGCUCUGCUCCUGCUAUCAGGAGGAUUCCUGCAUCCAUUUAUUGUAUCCUCCAUUCCAGACUGGACUCCUAAACCAUGCCACGCCCUAUCUGGGCACCAGGGCUAACAAGAUGCAGAACUCUCCGCUCUCUCCAGCACCAUGUCUGCUUGCACGCUGCCAUGCUUCUCCCCAUGGUGAUAAUGGACUGAACCUCUGAAACUGGCCCAAGAGGACAUUCAGUCCCAAGACGUGUUCAUGGGCAAAGCUUGCCAAUGUUGCAAGAAGCGGCUGCUGUAAGCAGGCAGGCUGCAGACCUUUGCACACGGCACUGCCUCUCAUAGGCAGGCAACUUAAGUGCUCACUGCCUAUGGGAAGCUGUGCUGUGCUGUCUGGAGCUGGCUGAGGCAAGGCACGUGAGCUUGAGUGGAGCACGUGCAGGGCCACUGUCAUUAUGGAAAUCCUGACUCUGAAGGCUAAUUCUGCGUCUAAAUGAGUUGAAAUGAAAUGCAAAGAACACAUCCAUCACUCCAGUUCACCCUUGUUCAGCCUCGCAUCUCAUUACUGUGCUACUCUGCCUAUGUAUUAUGAAUUAAUAUAUUUAAUAAAUUCUGUAAUUAUCUUGUGAACAGU